GGGGCUAUCUGCAGUCGUGCGAUUAAGCCCCCUUCGGGGGGUGCAUAGAGCGGCAAACGGGUGAGUAACAGGUGGAUAAUCUGCCUUCUGGUGGGGGAUAACGGCUGGAAACGGCCGCUAAUACCGCAUGUGGUUGUUGGUGCUCAGGCACCGGCAAAGAAAGGCGCUUCACGGCGCUGCCAGGAGAUGAGUCCGCCCCCCAUUAGCUAGUUGGUAGGGUAACGGCCUACCAAGGCUCCGAUGGGUAGCCGAGCUGAGAGGUUGAUCGGCCACACUGGGACUGAGAUACGGCCCAGACACCUACGGGUGGCAGCAGUAGGGAAUAUUGCGCAAUGGACGAAAGUCUGACGCAGCCAUGCCGCGUGAGUGAUGAAGGCCUUCGGGUCGUAAAGCUCUUUUCUGAGGGAAGAACCACCUGCGGAGGAAAUGCCGCGGGUCUGACGGUACCUCAGGAAUAAGGGACGGCUAACUCCGUGCCAGCAGCCGCGGUAAUACGGAGGUCCCAAGCGUUGUUCGGAAUUACUGGGCGUAAAGGGAGCGCAGGCGGACCGGUCAGUCUGGAGUGGAAUCCCGGGGCUCAACCUCGGAAGGCCUCCGGAUACUGCCGGUCUUGAGUUCGUGAGAGGAAAGCGGAAUUCAGGGUGUAGCGGUGAAAUGCUUAGAUAUCCUGAGGAACACCAAUGGCGAAAGCAGCUUUCUGGCGCGAAACUGACGCUGAGGCUCGAAAGCGUGGGUAGCGAACGGGAUUAGAUACCCCGGUAGUCCACGCCGUAAACGUUGUCAACUAGGUGCGGGAGGUAUCGACCCCUUCCGUGCCGCAGCUAACGCACUAAGUUGACCGCCUGGGGAGUACGCGCGCAAGCGUGAAACUCAAAGGAAUUGACGGGGGCCCGCACAAGCGGUGGAGCAUGUGGUUUAAUUCGAGGCAACGCGAAGAACCUACCCAGGCUUGACAUCCCAGGACAGCCCCUGAAAGCGGGUCUUUCCUUUCGGGGACCUGGAAACAGGUGUUGCAUGGCUGUCGUCAG
RNAcentral lists this ribosomal RNA (1028 nucleotides) under uncultured bacterium. Its description in RNAcentral is "bacterial SSU rRNA". It matches the Rfam family "Bacterial small subunit ribosomal RNA", at positions 44 to 1058 of the family's 1533-position model. The record is from RNAcentral.